UGAUUUUAUAAUUAAAAAUAGAAAAAAAACAUAAGAUUUUACGCGUGCGCGUAAUGAGAUUUGAAAUUCAAUGAAAAUACAAAUGGUGUAAACAUGACUGAAGAACUCUCUGGUGUUACAAUAGUGAUAUUUAUUGCGGCCGGAGUUUUAACGAUAUUAUUAUUAUUCAUAUUUGCAAAACGACAAAUAAUGAGAUUCGCAUUACGAUCACGUCGUGGUCCUCACAUUCCUAUUGGGCAUGAUGCAAGGAAGUCAUUGAAAAAGGAAAUUGAAAGACGGAUAGAAGUAAUACCAAAAAUUCAAUAUGAGCCACAACUUAUUAGUGAUCCAAGACUUAUUUUAACUCCUCGAGGACAUGUUCCACCUCAUUAUUAUAGAUUAAAAGCAGUGGAUGAUGUUAAAACUUUAGAAGCUGAAAUUACAAAAUAUGAUAAUUGUUUAAGGAGGCAUCCAUCUGAAAAUUUACGAGCAUAUUUACUUGCCACAUUAGCAACUCCAUUAAAUGGAAGUGGACAAAGAUUAAUUCAUCAAUUCUGUGAUUUAUAUGAACAUGCACGACAUGAUCCAACUGAAUUUGGAGACGAAGAAUAUCAAGUAUAUACCCGUUUAUUUCUUAAGUUAAUGGAUGCGGCCCGUUUGUUAAAAUCAUAUCCGAGCAGUAGAAAAUCUAGUCCAAGUCGUACACCUAUAAAGAAAAAUGUUGAAACGAAAAGGAAUAUAUUAGAACCUAAAAUGAAAUUACCCGAAGAUCAAACAUUGACUGGUUCACGACCAAAUACAUUAACGGUAAUGAUGCUGGAUAAUAAUGAAACAUCUGUUUAGCAUUAUGAAAAUCGUCACAUACAACAUAUGUGACGAAUAGUUGUUUCAUAAUUGCUAAUUUCUACACCAUACGGAAUUGCAAUUGUUACGAACAGAUUUUUUACAAUAGAAGUUGUUUCAGUCUAACAUGUACCAGUUUACGAUUAAAUAUCGAUCUCUGUUUUAAUCGAUAAAUAUUUAGUCCAUACAUCUCUAUAAUAGGAAUUAUGUCUUAAACAAAUUAAUGCUCGAUGAAAUGUGGAUUUAUACGAACUAGAAAUAUUACUCAUUCUCAUGUAAUUUAACCAUUCCAUCAUCUGAAAGGUAUAAUGUUAUUAAAAGAUUUUUAAUUCUUAUAUCGUUAUUACGUAAAAAAUUGUUUAAUUGCUAAAUUAUUAUUCGGUCGUAAUUAUACAAUAUAAUAUAUAAAUAAUCGUAAUAUAUAAAUAAAUCGUAAAUACCUGUGGAAU
Apis florea (little honeybee) is the source of this 1271-nucleotide RNA transcript. It is a transcript of the gene named lipid transport auxiliary protein 1, with no coding region annotated. The record is from RefSeq and is a predicted model, not a curated record. NCBI's taxonomy places the organism in Eukaryota, Metazoa, Arthropoda, Insecta, Hymenoptera, Apidae.